RNA transcript from Calliphora vicina (urban bluebottle blowfly), 3930 nucleotides. It is a transcript of the gene named Signal transducer and transcription activator Stat92E, with no coding region annotated. Lineage: Eukaryota; Metazoa; Arthropoda; Insecta; Diptera; Calliphoridae. The transcript is spliced from 12 exons. The record is from RefSeq and is a predicted model, not a curated record.
UGCUCUUUACUCUCGUCAUUGACGGUUGUGUUUUGUCGUCUUUUUGUUGAAAUAUUAAAAUAAAACUGCUCCACCACCACGUCGUUCGUACGUUUGUUCGGUGCUAGCCAGUUAGUCCCGUGUAAAAUAAAAAUAACAAAAAAAAAAAGAUUUAUAAAAAAAAUCCAUUUGAUUUGUUUCUUACCCCGUUUGACUCAGCAAAAGACUAUCACCAUCAGCGUUUUCAGAAAUUAAUAUUAUUUUUUUUUUGCAAAUUAAUAUUAUUGUUGCUGUUAUUUGUAUUUUUCUUUGGUGCAAAGUGAAAAGGGGGGAUUUAAAACAACAACACAAAUUUAUAUAAAAAAGUGCAACGCAAUAUUCUUGGCUUCAAAGAGUUUCAAUAUUUAAUCAUUAAAAGUUAUAAAAACAAUAUCACAAUAUUUUUUAAGUGUUUUUUUGAAAAAAAAUUAAAAAUCUGAAUAAUAAAUUUCUCAAAAUUUUGAUUUUAUGUUAAAAAGUGUAUAUUUUAUUGUUCACUAUAUGUAAACUGUGUGUGUUUUGCAAUAAAAUUUGUAUUGGGGAUUCGUGCUGCUUACUUUUCAGAUCCCCAUCAUCAUCAUCCAUCAACAACAUCGUGUUGAUUUUUCUAGUAGCAAUAUUCUGUAAUAUUUGAGGUCAGAACGUAUCAAUAAUUCAUCGACUGAACAUUACGAGCGUAUUGCCCAUCAAUUCUAUGAGGAACUGAAGCAGAAACUUAUUCCACUCAGCAACGAUAAUUUGAUGAAAUUUAAACUUGCCGAAAUCUGCACAAGCGUUACACAAACACCAGCCGUGGAGUUAUACACACACAUUCGUUCCGGUCUGCAGCGUGAGAUACAGCUGGUGGACCAAAUGCCACAGUAUUCGUAUAUGAGUGGUGUCGGUGUGAACGGGAGUGGCGGUGGUACCGUCGGCAUGUUGGGCGGAGGCACCAUACCUGUUGUACCAGGUAUGCACACACCCACACUCGCUUCCACCGGCAACGGUGGCAAUGCCUACGUCGGCAACGAUCUCUAUGCCCUGCACGGUCUCAUCACCAAACUGAAUAUGGACAUUAAUGCGGUGUUUGCCGACAUGCAACAGUUUCGCAGCAGUUAUGAAACAUUUCACAACUGUUUCAACAGUUACAAUCAACGUAAGGCCCACAUGUCACCGCAGGAUAUACAGUCGACAGAUCUGCAGCUGCAGGAACAGUGUCGCAUGUUGGCCACCACACGCAGCACCAUACUAAACGAUUUAAAUCGAAUAAUCGGCACCUACAACACCAUACAGACAACGGUGAUAACAGAAUUGAAGAACUGGCAACGUAAUCAGGCGUUGGCUGGCAAUGGUGCACCAUUCCGUGAUAAUUUGGAUGACAUACAACGUUGCAUUGAGCUGUUGGUCGAGAUGGUUGGCAAAAUUCUGGAUAAUGUUAACAUGAUGAACAUGAUAAGGUUGGAUAAUAACGAUGACAUCAGUGAAAUGAUUUCCCGUGUACGUCAGGCUCAACAAUUGUUGGUGCUGUCAUCAUUCAUUGUUGAAAAACAACCGCCACAGGUUAUGAAAACCAAUACCAGAUUUGCUGCUGCAGUACGAUGGCUUAUUGGACCACAAUUGGGCAUAAGUGUUAAUAGUCCUUCAGUGGAAUGUAUUAUAUUAUCAGAGGCACAGGCUCAACGUCAUUCCGCACAACGUACCAUGUCUGAGUCAUCAAGCAGUAAUCCAGCAUCAUCGGGUGAAAUUGUGAAUAAUAUUGGCACUAUGGAAUAUAAUAAUCAGACCAGAGUAUUUUCGGCGAGUUUCAGAACAAUGCAAUUGAAGAAAAUUAAACGUGCUGAGAAGAAGGGCACUGAGAGUGUCAUGGAUGAAAAAUUUGCUUUACUCUUUUAUACAUCGGUUAUAGUCAAUGAUUAUAGAAUUAGGGUCUGGACCAUUUCUUUACCCGUAGUCGUAAUAGUGCAUGGUAAUCAAGAGCCUCAGUCAUGGGCCACAAUAACAUGGGAUAAUGCAUUCUCUGAUAUUGUUCGUGAACCUUUUCAAGUGCCCGAAAGAGUUGCUUGGUCCCAAUUGGCCAUGGCGUUAAAUACCAAAUUUGAAUCGUCAACGGGUCGUGCUUUAACCGAAGAUAAUUUAAAUUUCUUACAUGAAAAACUAUUCCGCCGAAAUGGAAUGAACAGCGAUGAUGAUUAUAUUUCUUGGGCCCAGUUCUGCAAGGAACCCUUGCCCGAUCGUUCGUUUACAUUUUGGGAUUGGUUCUUUGCCAUUAUGAAAUUAACCAAAGAUCAUUUACUAAGUCUAUGGAAGGCCGGUUUAAUUGUGGGUUUCAUUAACAAGCGCAAGGCCGAGGAAAUGUUGCGGAUUCUACCAUUGGGUACUUUCUUGUUGCGUUUCUCAGACAGUGAAUUAGGUGGAAUAACUGUGGGUUUUGUUACCGAACAAAGUUCAGUGUUAAUGUUGUCGCCAUGGACAGCACGUGAUUUAAAUAUACGCGGCUUAGCCGAUCGUAUUCAUGAUAUAGAAAUCUUACGUAUUGUCUAUCCAACGAAUCGUAUGCGUGAUGAAGCUUUUGGAGAAUUUUAUACACAAAGAAUGGAUGAAAAUGCCCGUCGUGAUGGUUAUGUACCAAAUACUAUACGAGUGAAUGUACCAGCCAUAGAAGGUGUUGGAGGUGUAACACCUCAGCACAAUAUUCAAUCCCCCCAUCCACAAGAUAUACAAAUGGGAAACAAUAGUAACAAUAAUAUUUGCCUAAAUGAUCUCGAUAUAUAUACAAAUGGAAUGAAUGAAACCAAUCUUGACUGGGAUACUCUUUGUAUACUCUAAAUGACAAAUUGUUGUCGUUGUAAAUUAUGAAAAUGCAGUGCAAAUAAAAAAGUAAAAGAAACAAAGGAAAAAAAGAGGAAAUUAAUCUAAAACAAGUCUGAUCUAACUAAAAAUAAUUGUGUAUAUGUUCGUCAAAUUAUGAAACGAAAGAAAAGAAAUUAUAUAUCUGUGUACAUAAAAUACAAAUGUAACUAUUAAAAUUCUACUAUUUCGAAAGUUUUGAUCUUGUCGUUUAACAACAAAAAAAAAUAAAUAAAAAAAGAAAAACGAAAUACAAGUGCCUUUUGCUUCUACAAAACGUAUUGAGUGUAACAAAAAUAUCAAACCAAAUAAAAGCGACAACAUACAUUUUUCGGACUUCGAUUCAAUACUAUAUUGAACGCAAUUUAAAUUUUAAAUACAUUACUAUAUAUAUACAUAUUUUUUAACAAUUUAUCUAUUAUAUUCUUUGUUGCUAUAAAAAAAAAUAUAUAAAUAUAUAACGAAUAUAAGUAGAAACGUAUUUUGAAUACGAAACAAUUAAAAUACUUAUUUUAUUGGCAUACAAAAACUCAAAAUUAAACUAAACUAAAGUAAAUAAUAUUUAUAAUAUGAAAAACAUAAAUUACCAUUUAUAAAUGUGCACUUUAAAUGUGAAUAAGAUUAAAAAAAAAAACAAAAAAAAAAACAUUUAAAAAUAAAACGAAAUCUUUUAAAUUUCAAUUACUUUGAAUUGAAAGCUAAGAAACAUUUUAAAACAAACUCUGACGUCCAGACUCUGAGAUACAAACAACAACAACAAAAAUAAAUAAUAAAAAAAUAAAGUAAAAUAUAUAAUUAAUUUUAGAAAUUUUUAAUGGUGAAUCUACUUUAAAUGUUUUUGAAACAAUUUUACAUACAUAUAUUGUAUAACCCUCAAACCCCAACUUAUUUCGUUAUUAAUAUAAAUCAAAUUUCUAUAUACAUAAUAUUAAUACAUAAUAAUAAUAAAAAAUAAACAAUAUUUUUAAAUAUAGUUUUGUCCCCCCCCCCUAUUUCAAACUAAAAUGUUUACGAAAAAUUAAAUUUGUAUAAUUUUCUUAAGAAAAAAACUUUAAAUAAAACAAGUGAUUUAAAAAACAAAACAAA